AGUUUGAUCCUGGCUCAGAACGAACGCUGGCGGCGCGUUUUAAGCAUGCAAGUCGAGCGGCAAGGGUCUUCGGGCCCCUAGAGCGGCGGACGGGCGAGUAACACGUGGACAAUCUGCCCCCCGGCCGGGGAUAGCCCAGGGAAACCUGGAUUAAUACCGGAUGAGACGGGACCCGCGGAGGCGGGAUCCGGGAAAGGCGCUGCGGCGCCGCCGGGGGAUGAGUCUGCGUCCCAUUAGCUUGACGGCGGGGUAACGGCCCACCGUGGCGACGAUGGGUAGCCGGCCUGAGAGGGUGUACGGCCACAUUGGAACUGAGACACGGUCCAGACUCCUACGGGAGGCAGCAGCUAAGAAUCUUCCGCAAUGGGCGAAAGCCUGACGGAGCGACGCCGCGUGAACGAAGAAGGCCGUGAGGUUGUAAAGUUCUUUUCGGGAGGGGGAACGACCGUGGCAGGGAAUGGCCGCGGGAUGACGUGAAUCCCGGAAUAGGCCCCGGCUAACUACGUGCCAGCAGCCGCGGUAACACGUAGGGGGCGAGCGUUGUUCGGAAUCAUUGGGCGUAAAGGGCGUGCAGGCGGUCCUGCAAGUCCGGCGUGAAAGACCCCGGCCCAACCGGGGGGGCGCGCUGGAAACUGCAGGGCUUGAGUACAGGAGGGGAUGCCGGAAUUCCAGGUGUAGGGGUGAAAUCUGUAGAUAUCUGGAGGAACACCAAUGGCGAAAGCAGGCAUCUGGGCCAUGUACGACGCUGAGACGCGAAAGUGCGGGGAGCAAACAGUUUAGAUACCCUGUAGUCCGCACAGUAAACGAUGUGCACCAGUGGCGGGGGGGUCGACCCCGUACCGUAGCCAACGCAUUAAGUGCACGCCUGGGGAGUAUGCUCGCAAGGUGAACUCAAAGAAUUGACGGGGCCGCACAGCGGUGGAGAUGGUGGUUUAAUUCGAU
RNAcentral lists this ribosomal RNA (942 nucleotides) under uncultured delta proteobacterium. RNAcentral describes it as "bacterial SSU rRNA". It matches the Rfam family "Bacterial small subunit ribosomal RNA", at positions 10 to 955 of the family's 1533-position model. Lineage: Bacteria; Deltaproteobacteria. The record is from RNAcentral.